This is a long non-coding RNA of Mustela lutreola (European mink), 4237 nucleotides long. RefSeq lists it as uncharacterized. The transcript is spliced from 3 exons. NCBI's taxonomy places the organism in Eukaryota, Metazoa, Chordata, Mammalia, Carnivora, Mustelidae. The record is from RefSeq and is a predicted model, not a curated record.
CUAGCGUGCGGUUGGGGGUUGUGAUGUUUCUCGCUUCUUGUUUCUCCCGGGAAGUUGGUUUAUGUUUGGCUACCGGAAUUUUGCAGAGUUGGCAUUCCAGACGAAGGGGUCACUCAGCUCCUGUGGCGAAGGGCAAAAUGCGCCGAGCGGGGCCUAGGAGGGAGGGGACGGGAGUGAAGGUGUUGGGGUAAAAAAAGUUUCGGAGCCGUUUUCCUAUCUGUGGAAAAAGAAUUUUUGGUGUGGCCAUGCUGUUGUGGGAAACCCAAACCAAGUGCAACUCAGUAGAGCUAGCGCUCCUCGGGCCCUGGAGGUCUUGCAGGUUCUGCUGCUAACAAGGCCGUUGGAUACUAGUUACAUUCAUUGGCGCACCAGCUUGUUUAGGAGCUCCUGCUUAGGCAAAAACGCCCAUCCGGAACCUGACCGUGACCCAAGAUAUGGCAAAGGAAAAAAAAAGAAACAUUAAAAUGUUACAUAAAUUGAAUGGGCGAAAGAAAGAUAAUAAAUGUGCUAGGAUGCUGGCUCUGCUUGCAGUUCCCUUUGGAUUAUACCUUCCUCCUUUUUGCUCCUCCAGAUAAGGAUUCCCUCAACAAUAGAGGUGAUACAUUAUCUCUGAAAUACCCAAAGUGGUUUUCUUUUCCUGACUGGACACUGACUAAUAAUGUGACCUUGAGCAAGUAAUUUUUGCAUCAGUAACUUCCUCUAUAAAAUGAAGAUAGAUGAAAAUAGUAAUCUGUCUCAUUGGCAUUAUUAAGAUUAAAUGAGCUAAUGUUUUUAGAGUACUUAGAACAGUGCCUGGCACAAAGCAGACACUAUGUUUGCUAAGUAAGUGGUAUCAUGUAUCAUAUUCUGUUGUUAAAUACAUAUGGUGUUAGCCAUUAAGUGUAUAAAAUCUGAUGUCCCUCUCCAUACAUCUGUCACAUUCUGUCACCUGCCUCCCCCACCAUUUCUUGUCCUUACUGCUUAUUGCUAUCAUUUCCCUGCCUGUGACCUCUAUGCCAUAUCUUCUUUUGCAUCUCUUCUGUCAUUAAAUCAGCAUGUAUGUUUUUCAGUGUCCUUUUCUCUCGUUUGCUUUAAACACAGACAUUUUGGAGGCCCAUAGGUUUCAAUGUUUUUUUUUUUUUUUUUUUAAAGAUUUUAUUUAUUUAUUUGACAGAGAGAAAUCACAAGUAGUCGGAGAGGCAGGCAGAGAGAGAGAGAGGGAAGCAGGCUCCCUGCUGAGCAGAGAGCCCGAUGCGGGACUCGAUCCCAGGACCCUGAGAUCAUGACCUGAGCCGAAGGCAGCGGCCUAACCCACUGAGCCACCCAGGCGCCCCGGUUUCAAUGUUUUUAUGAAGUUUUGUAUUGUAGGAUGUGCAGUGGUGAGAGUGGGUAUGCAGGGUAGGAAGCAGCACUGUCAGUGGAAGACUAGCAUGAGAACCUGAAGACAAAUCCUGAAUCUACAGAGUGGGAUGUCAGGGACCUUGUAUACCAGAAAUGUUGAGAAAUACAGAUUCUUUUGGCUAAAUCUUGUCCACAGUAAGAUUAUUUUACAUUUGUAUGGAAUUCUUUCAUUGGUUACAAUUUAGGGAUUUGAGAACAGUGUUGUUUUUUAUUUUAUACUCAAUAAGGAAAGCCGAUUCAGAUUUUCGGGUUACAGUUACUCCAUUCCCAAGAUCCUAGAGACCAAAACCUUCCAGAAAACAAAACAAAACAAAAAAUGUGGGAAUGAGUUAGACCUAGAAUACUGAAUAAAUUAUUCAGUUUACUGAAAAAAGAGAAUACUGCGGUGUGUAUAUAAGUGUUGGAUCAUUGUUCAGAGACCUGGUCACAGAAAUUCCUAGAAUGAUUGUUGAAGUUCUCCACAAACUAAGAUCAUGUCAAUUUUUACUGUCCUGUACACUUUCAGCUUGUCCUACUAGGCACAUGUUAUAUACAGGUAUCCCUCAGUUUCCAAAAAGUUGGUUACACGACUUUGCUUUUAGGAAAGAACUGUAUCAGUACCUGUUUUCACUGAGCAAAAGAAACCCAAAGAGGAUUUUUGCUUCACAAAAAAAGCCAUUACUAUACCACAGGCCUUUCAUAAAAGUGAAGUGUAACUUGAAUUUUCAGAAAGUCAGGGAUACUCUUCCCAGUAUGCCUUUUCAACUUAUGUAAGGUCUUAUAGAAAUGUUUUACUUUUGGACAAUAGGGAAAUCUGUACUUCUUUUUCUUUAUAAGUCCAACUUUCAACUAUGCGUAAGUGCAUUUUUUAGCCUAAUUAGAAUUCUAGGCUUUAAAUUUAGAUGGGUAUUUGUAAAAGUACAUCUGAAAAUCUCAUAUUGCUUUUGAAUAUCUUUCCCUCCCUCCCUCCCUUCUUUCCUUCCUUCCUUUCUUAUCUGUCUCUCUGUCUAUCUAAAGUAGGCUCCAUGCCCAGCAUGAAGCUCAGUGUGGGGCUUGAACUCACAACCCAGAGAUCAAGACCUGAGCCGAAAUCAAGAAAUGGACACUUAACUGCCUGAGCUUCCCAGGUGUCCCUCGAAUUUUUUUUUUUAAAUACAAACUACUAAGCAUAAUAACAAAAUUAUUUAGAGGACAAAGUUAUGUCACCUUUAUAUUCAUAUUAAUAUUUACAUCAGAGUUUGAAAUUUUUAGUCAUUACCAAAAUUAAAACUAUCUUUGGCUAUAUAUAAGAUCAGUAUAGUAUUAAUAUACCACGGAUUUACUCUAAGUGGAAACACCUACAAAAAAAUUAGAUAAUUUGAAAAGAAUCUACAAAAGGAUUAUUUUUUUACUGCAUGAGAACAAUAGAUACUCAACCAAAUAUGGGCCAAGCAAUGCGAUUACAAUUCAAGAGCUGCUUAACUACCAUUUCCUAAAAUAGAAAAGUCAUACUCACUUCCUCUCAAGUGAUCCCUAUAUUUUCAUAUCGUAUUCUGCAGCUCUCACUGCUAAAGUCUAAUUUGUUGACCAUUUUGAUACAGUGCUCUCCAACUGGAAAAAUAAGUCACUGGCUUUAGAACAUUUCCAUUACCUGAAGACUUUCCAUCAUGCUUCUAUACAGUCAGUCCUGCUCCCACCUCUAGCCCUAGAGCAAAACACUUCUGCUUUGAGUCUAUAUAUUUGCUUUUUCUAGAAAUGUCAUAUAGAUGGAAUCAUAAAAUAUGUUGUCUUCUGUGUCUGGCUUCUUUUACUUAGCAUGCUUUUAAGGUUCAUCUGUAUUAUAGCUUGUGUUAGUGUUCAUUUCUUUUUUUCUCCCUACACUCCUUUUUAUUAAUAGAUGGUAUUCUAAUAUAUGGAUAUAUCCACAUUUUUGUUUAUUGAUUCAUCAGCCAGUGGACAUUUAGUUUGUUUCUAGUUUUUGGAUAUUAGAAAUAAAACUCCUGUAAAACCUCACAUACAAGUUUUUUGGUUUUUUUUGUUUUAUGCUUUUUUGUGGAUAUAGGUAUUCAUCUCUCUUGGGAAGAUGCCUAGGGGUAGAAUUGCUGGGUAAAUACAUGUUUCAAUUUUUUAAAAAAAGAUUUUAUUUAUUUGACAGACAGAGAUCACAAGUAGGCAGAGAGGCAGGGGGGAAGCAAGCUCCCUGCUGAGCAGAGAGCCCAAUUUGGGGCUUGAUCCUAGGAUCCUGAGAUCAUGACCUGAGCCAAAGGCAGAGGCUUAACCCACUGAGUCAUAUAGGCACCCCUAUAUGUUUCAGUUUUAGAAACUGCCAAACUAUUUUAUAUAGUGACUUUACUAUUUUAUAUUCCCAUCAGUAAUGAAUGAAUGUUCCACUUUUUCCACAUCUUCAACACUUGCUAUUUUCUUUUUAAAUUAUAGCCAUCCUAAUGAGUAUGAAAUGGUAAUCUUAUUGUGGUUUUAGUUUGCAUUUUCUUAAUGAUUAAUGAUGUUAAAUAUAUUUCAUAUGCUUAGUAGCCAUUCAUCAUUGAGUUUUUUAUCAUAGACUAAUUUAAGAACUGGUAGCCUAUGUGCAGAAGGGUGAGUUUUUGCACACACACACACACAUACAUAUCUCAUAUGUAGGUAUAUAUAUAAACAUACCUAUAAAACUAGCACCCCAAAAUAUAGCAUGCAAGGCAUACAGUUUAAUACAUAUUAUUAACUUUUAUCACUUUCUGAACAAUGAACUUUCUGAACAAUCACUUUCUUACCAUUUGCUGUUGUUAUAUAUUCUACUUAUACAUUAUAAAAACCCACAAGACAGUAUUAUUAUUGUAAUUUUAAACAAAUAAUAGUCAUUUUAAAUGUACAUAAUUACCCUGGCUUUUAAUCAUUUUUCCUU